AACGAACGCUGGCGGCAUGCCUAACACAUGCAAGUCGAACGAGACCUUCGGGUCUAGUGGCGCACGGGUGCGUAACGCGUGGGAACCUGCCCUUAGGUUCGGAAUAACUCCCCGAAAGGGGUGCUAAUACCGGAUAAUGUCUUCGGACCAAAGAUUUAUCGCCUUUGGAUGGGCCCGCGUUGGAUUAGCUAGUUGGUAGGGUAAAAGCCUACCAAGGCGACGAUCCAUAGCUGGUCUGAGAGGAUGAUCAGCCACACUGGGACUGAGACACGGCCCAGACUCCCUCCGGAGGGCGGCAGUGGGGAUAUUUGGACAUGGGCGGAAGCCUGAUCCAGCAAUGCCGCGUGAGUGAUGAAGGCCUUAGGGUUGUAAAGCUCUUUUACCCGGGAUGAUAAUGACAGUACCGGGAGAAUAAGCUCCGGCUAACUCCGUG
RNAcentral lists this ribosomal RNA (433 nucleotides) under uncultured bacterium. RNAcentral's name for it is "partial 16S ribosomal RNA". It matches the Rfam family "Bacterial small subunit ribosomal RNA", at positions 29 to 507 of the family's 1533-position model. The record is from RNAcentral.